This 1057-nucleotide long non-coding RNA is filed under the name Equus caballus (horse). Its description in RNAcentral is "lncRNA (ENSECAG00000054795.1)". The record is from RNAcentral. Lineage: Eukaryota; Metazoa; Chordata; Mammalia; Perissodactyla; Equidae.
UAGGGAGGGUCUCUGAGGAGGCGACAGUGAGCAGAGAACAGAAUGACACAGGGAAACCAAACAUGCCCAGAUUGGAAGACGAGUGGUCCAGGCUGAGGACGAGCAAGAGCAAAGGCCCUGGGGCAGAGGUGGCCUUUGAGAGGGCGCCGGCGCCCACUCCAUCCAGCUGGACCGCGCGGCCCGGGAGACGGAUGCGGGGCGACAGGGAGCGCAGGCGGGCGCUCCGAAGUCAGGGCGCGGGGCUGAGCGGGACGGAACGCAGGAGUGGGCUGCAGCUCCGGGUCCAGGAAGGCAUUUUUAGAGAUAAGUGACAAUAAGAUUCCCAGCCAGUUCGGCACCUCUGUCAAUGGUGUUAAGAAGAUGCCCGGAGCAGCCUGCAGCCAGCGCAAGCCUGCUCCAUCCCAGGCCUCAGUCCUGUCCUCCUCUGUCCUUCCGAUACUGCAGCCGCAUGUCUCUGAACAGGAGCCACGUGCCUCCCUCACGUGGGGCUCAGGCGCUCUCAGUGCUCUCCGGUUAAGGUCCCGACGCCUCCGCGCCUCCACACGGCCUUCGAAGCCCUUCUGCGAUGAGCGCCUGCCCACUUCUCCAACGCAGGGGCUGCAGCCCAGAGUCCACCUGGACCGUUCCACUUCCCCACUGUGCCCUGACCUUGCAGAACCUGAGGCUGCAGACGUGGUUCCCUUUGCCAGGAGCAUCCUUUUCCAUCUCCUUCACCUGCUUCCUCCCGCUUACAUAGGUGCUACCUCCAGCCCCAGCAUCCCUCCCUGGAUUCCUCACCCGUCCUCCUGCCCCAUCCCUGAGAAUCUUUCCCAUUCAUCCCCAGUGGCUCAGGUGGCAAAGUGCAGCGACCCAGAGCCUGGACCUGGAAGUCCUAGCGGGGCUCCUGGAAUCUUACAGGGUCAUCACUUUGUUUCUAAAAGUCAAGACGUUGGAACCAAAUAUAUUUUACAAAAUUCUUUUUCUCAGACUCUUCAUUUCCUCCCUAUUUCCCUUUGUAUUUUGGGAGUCUGCAUGGGGUCAGGAAGGCCUGCUUGAAUCUGGUUCUGGCUCUUCCCAA